RNAcentral lists this ribosomal RNA (925 nucleotides) under Strongyloides stercoralis. Its description in RNAcentral is "eukaryotic LSU rRNA". It matches the Rfam family "Eukaryotic large subunit ribosomal RNA", at positions 82 to 931 of the family's 3401-position model. Lineage: Eukaryota; Metazoa; Nematoda; Chromadorea; Rhabditida; Strongyloididae. The record is from RNAcentral.
AGUAACUGCGAGUGAACUGGAAUUAGCCCAUCACGAAAUCUAUAUUAUAAUAAUAAUAUCGAAAUGUCGUGUAUAGGUUUUAUUAUUAUUAAUAAAUUAUUAUUAAAUAAUUGUAUUUAAAUAUACAGCCACAGAAGGUGCCAGCCCUGUUAUUUAAUAAUAUUUAUUAAAUUUAUAAAACUUUAGAGUCGUGUUGCUUGGAAGUGCAGCACAAAGUUGGUGAUAAACAUCAUCUAAGGCUAAAUAUUCCUAUGAAUCCGAUAGCGAACAAGUACUGUGAAGGAAAAUUGCAAAGUACUCCGGAGAGAGAGUUAAAGAGGACGUGAAACCGAUACGAUGGAAGCAUACAGAGCCAGUUGCACUAUUAUUAAUAUUUUUUUAUUAAUAAUUUUAAGCAUGGGUAUAUUGAUUAUUAAUUAGUUAUUUAUUAAAGAGUGAUAAAAUUUUUUAAAUUUUGUUAACUUUAAUAAAAUAAUUAUAUUUAUAAUUAAUAUUAUAUAUUAUUAAUGUAUUAAUAAUAUUUUAAUUAUUAAUAUAAUAUAAGACACAUGUGUUAAAUAUUAUUUAUUAAUAAUUAUUAUAUUAUUAUAAAUUAAUAAACCUAUGUAAUCCUGGUAUGCUGUAUGUCCCGUCUUGAAACACGGACCAAGGAGUGUAUUGCUAUGGCAAGUCAUUGAUAUUAUUAAUAUCAAAGGCAUAAUGAAAAUAAUUUUUAAUCUCAGAUCUUUUGAUUAUAUUAUCAUUAGCGCAUGAGAAACGUAAAUAUAUGAUUUAUUCAUUUUUUACAGUUAUAGCCAUAGUAGUGCGACCCGAAAGAUGGUGAACUAUACUAGUGCAGGGUGAAGUCAGAAGAAAUUCUGAUGGAAGCUCGAAGCGGUCCUGACGUGCAAAUCGGUCGUCUGACAUUAGUAUAGGGGCGAAAGAC